RNAcentral lists this long non-coding RNA (340 nucleotides) under Lathyrus oleraceus (garden pea). RNAcentral's name for it is "Pisum sativum (pea) long non-coding RNA (PSAT_LNC023217)". The record is from RNAcentral. Lineage: Eukaryota; Viridiplantae; Streptophyta; Magnoliopsida; Fabales; Fabaceae.
UGACCACUAUCCUUGGAGCUACAUUCACCCUUUUCACUCGUCGGAUGCUUUGAAUUUUGCGAAUCAUUUAAACCAAAAUUCUGAAAAUUUGAUUUACCUCUCGCCGCAAAUUUUCCUUUCGACCUCUUAUUCUUCUCAUUGAAACGCGCUUGCAAAGCAAUCUCUGCUUUGGCUUUGUCGGCGCCUCUCUCAUCCAUCCUCUGUUUAUGUGCCUCUAACGAACUUUACAAUUCAUCCUUGCUCAAAGUUGUUAGAUCCUUUGAUUCUUCAAUAGCCACAACUAUGUUGUCGAAACGCGGCGUUAACGAACGCAAUACUUUCGAUACAACAUUCUGCUCAA